Molecule: unclassified non-coding RNA, 185 nt
Filed under: Petriella musispora
Lineage: Eukaryota; Fungi; Ascomycota; Sordariomycetes; Microascales; Microascaceae
Description: partial internal transcribed spacer 2
Source: RNAcentral
CAACCCUCGAGCCUAAGUUUUUCUAAACUAAAGGAUCGGUGUUGGGGCGCUACAGCGGUCUUCGGAUAGCUGUAGGCUCUGAAAUACAGUGGCGGUCCCGUCGCGGCGUCUUCUGCGUAGUAAGCUUAUAAAACUCGCAUUAGGUCCCGGCGAAGGCCAGCCGUCAAACCCUCUAAUUCUUUAUG